Molecule: ribosomal RNA, 466 nt
Filed under: uncultured bacterium
Lineage: Bacteria
Description: bacterial SSU rRNA
Rfam family: Bacterial small subunit ribosomal RNA
Source: RNAcentral
AGAGUUUGAUCAUGGCUCAGAUUGAACGCUGGCGGCAUGCUUAAUACAUGCAAGUCGAACGGUAACAGAUUCUUCGGAAUGCUGACGAGUGGCGGACGGGUGAGUAAUACAUAGGAAUCUGCCCAUGUAGUGGGGGACAACUUGGGGAAACUCAAGCUAAUACCGCAUAAUUCCUACGGGAUAAAGAGGGCCACUGCUUGCAAGCUCUUGCUACUGGAUGAGCCUAUGUCGGAUUAGUUAGUUGGUAAGGUAAUGGCUUCCCAAGACAGCGAUCCGUAGCUGGUUUGAGAGGAUGAUCAGCCACACUGGGACUGAGACACGGCCCAGACUCCUACGGGAGGCAGCAGUAGGGAGUAUUGGACAAUGGGCGCAAGCCUGAUCCAGCAAUGCCGCGUGUGUGAAGAAGGCCUGCGGGUUGUAAAGCACUUUCAAUUGGGAAGAAAGAUUAUGAGUUAAUACCUUAUAA